CCUACGGGGGGCUGCAGUGAGGAAUAUUGGUCAAUGGGCGAGAGCCUGAACCAGCCAAGUCGCGUGAAGGAUGACGGCCCUACGGGUUGUAAACUUCUUUUGUCAGGGAGCAAUUGGGUCCACGCGUGGGCUUAGCGAGAGUACCUGAAGAAAACGCAUCGGCUAACUCCGUGCCAGCAGCCGCGGUAAUACGGAGGAUGCGAUCGUUAUCCGGAUUUAUUGGGUUAAAAGGGUGCGUAGGCGGAAGUUCAAGUCAGCGGUAAAAAUUCGGGGCUCAACCCCGUCGUGCCGUUGAAACUGGUGGUCUUGAGUGGGCGAGAAGUAGGCGGAAUGCGUGGUGUAGCGGUGAAAUGCAUAGAUAUCACGCAGAACUCCGAUUGCGAAGGCAGCAUACCGGCGCCCAACUGACGCUGAAGCACGAAAGCGUGGGUAUCGAACAGGAUUAGAUACCCUAGUAGUC
RNAcentral lists this ribosomal RNA (460 nucleotides) under uncultured bacterium. Its description in RNAcentral is "partial 16S ribosomal RNA". It matches the Rfam family "Bacterial small subunit ribosomal RNA", at positions 338 to 795 of the family's 1533-position model. The record is from RNAcentral.